Long non-coding RNA from Acomys russatus (golden spiny mouse), 1083 nucleotides. RefSeq lists it as uncharacterized. NCBI's taxonomy places the organism in Eukaryota, Metazoa, Chordata, Mammalia, Rodentia, Muridae. The transcript is spliced from 4 exons. The record is from RefSeq and is a predicted model, not a curated record.
CCUUGGCUGUCCUAGACUUGCUUUGUAGACCAGGCUAGCCUUAAACUUACAGUGAUCCACCUGCUUCUGCCUCCCGAGUGCUGGGAUUAAAGGCGUGUGCCACCAUGCCCGGCUACCAUAUAGGAUUCUUGAUGUGAAAAAUCAGUUAGGACAAGGUUCAACUCUUGGUUUAAAAGGAACAAUGCUGUUAUUUUUCCCAAGGCCUAGCUGGAAACUCCAAGAGCCACGACAAAAGACCAAAAUAGCACCGUUAUCAAAGGUUAAACCCAUGGAUUCCUUUGUUAAACUACUCAUCUGAUUUCAUUUGUGGGGGCUUUCUUUUCCCAGGGUGAGGAAGAUAAAACACAUGGCUGAGAGUCAUACUAGUUCCCACGUCUCAGCAACAAACACAGAGGCACCUAAAGUCCACCCCAUCGCAUUUACCCAAUUCACUUGAAUAUGAGUCCAUUAAGUGGCCUCUUACCUUUUGCACCAGGCUGGCCUCGAAUUCAUGAAGACCCACCUACCUCCUGAGUGCUGGAAUUAAAGAGGAAGAAGAACCCAACCACAGCCAAGAGCUGAAUUGUGUUCCCCUAAAGGGUCUCAUGUGGCCCAGGCUGACCUUGAACUCCUGAUCUUCCUGUGACAAUUUCUCAAGUCCUCAGAUCACAGGCAUGGGCCACCAUGUCCAACAAUGUGAGAGACGGUUAUGUUACAAAGCUUAUCAUUCAAGUAGGAGAGACAAGAGUGGAAUGGCAAAAUUCCCGCAUUCCUUUCGGACGAUGCAGCAAUCACUUCUGAGAAUCGAGACGACUUAUUUGGGCUAAGGGACAGCAGACAGGGCUCUGUAGAGCAAGAGGCCGUGCCCACGCCUCCUGCUGAGGAAGCACAAAAUGGAAUCAGGCUACCGAGACUAAACCGCUUGCACCACAUUCUUCACCAGGAACAAACGGCCAUUAAGAGUACAGUGCUCUGACUAGAUUCCAUACAGUGCUACGGAAGCAAGAAAGAAAAAUGGAGAGCCCCUGGGAAUUGACCUCUGGCUACAGGCCUGGGGUCAGUCCGGCUCCCUGCUAACUGUGUACUCUCCCGCUUAAAAUAAAC